RNAcentral lists this ribosomal RNA (200 nucleotides) under uncultured bacterium. RNAcentral describes it as "partial 16S ribosomal RNA". It matches the Rfam family "Bacterial small subunit ribosomal RNA", at positions 29 to 250 of the family's 1533-position model. The record is from RNAcentral.
AACGAACGCUGGCGGCGUGCCUAACACAUGCAAGUCGAACGGAUGGUCGCAAGACCAUUAGUGGCGGACGGGUGCGUAACGCGUGGGAACCUGCCUUGAAGUUCGGAAUAACUGCGGGAAAUUGCAGCUAAUACCGGAUGUGGCCUGAGGGCCAAAGGGGAAACUCGCUUCAAGAGGGGCCCGCGUCCGAUUAGCUAGUU